RNAcentral lists this ribosomal RNA (463 nucleotides) under uncultured bacterium. Its description in RNAcentral is "partial 16S ribosomal RNA". It matches the Rfam family "Bacterial small subunit ribosomal RNA", at positions 28 to 507 of the family's 1533-position model. The record is from RNAcentral.
GACGAACGCUGGCGGCGUGCUUAACACAUGCAAGUCGAACGGAAAGGCCUUUUCGGAGGUACUCGAGUGGCGAACGGGUGAGUAACACGUGGGUGAUCUGCCCUGCACUCUGGGAUAAGCCUGGGAAACUGGGUCUAAUACCGGAUAGGACCGCACUUUAGUGUGUGUGGUGGAAAGUUUUUUCGGUGUAGGAUGAGCCCGCGGCCUAUCAGCUUGUUGGUGGGGUAAUGGCCUACCAAGGCGGCGACGGGUAGCCGGACUGAGAGGUUGGUCGGCCACAUUGGGACUGAGAUACGGCCCAGACUCCUACGGGAGGCAGCAGUGGGGAAUAUUGCACAAUGGGCGCAAGCCUGAUGCAGCGACGCCGCGGGGGGGAGGACGGCCUUCGGGUUGGAAACUCCUUUCGCCAGGGACGAAGCGUUUUGUGACGGUACCUGGAGAAGAAGCACCGGCUAACUACGUG